This 501-nucleotide ribosomal RNA is filed under the name uncultured Glomeromycotina. Its description in RNAcentral is "partial small subunit ribosomal RNA". It matches the Rfam family "Eukaryotic small subunit ribosomal RNA", at positions 591 to 1092 of the family's 1831-position model. Lineage: Eukaryota; Fungi; Glomeromycota. The record is from RNAcentral.
CCAAUAGCGUAUAUUAAAGUUGUUGCAGUUAAAAAGCUCGUAGUUGAAUUUCGGAAUCAAUGGAUCGGUCAUGCCAAUCGGUGUGUACUGGUUUGAUUGGUUCUCACCUUCUAAGGAACCGUGAUGUCAUUAAUUUGGUGUCGCGGGGAAUUAGGACUGUUACCUUGAAAAAAUUAGAGUGUUUAAAGCAAGCUCACGCUUGAAUACAUUAGCAUGGAAUAAUGGAAUAGGACAUUGUAUUCUAUUUUGUUGGUUUCUAGGAUCGAUGUAAUGAUUAAUAGGGAUAGUUGGGGGCAUUAGUAUUCAAUUGUCAGAGGUGAAAUUCUUGGAUUUACUGAAGACUAACUACUGCGAAAGCAUUUGCCAAGGAUGUUUUCAUUAAUCAAGAACGAAAGUUAGGGGAUCGAAGACGAUCAGAUACCGUCGUAGUCUUAACCAUAAACUAUGCCGACUAGGGAUCGGAUGAUGUUAAUUUUAUAAUGACUCAUUCGGCACCUUACG